This 495-nucleotide ribosomal RNA is filed under the name uncultured bacterium. Its description in RNAcentral is "bacterial SSU rRNA". It matches the Rfam family "Bacterial small subunit ribosomal RNA", at positions 899 to 1397 of the family's 1533-position model. The record is from RNAcentral.
ACUCAAAGGAAUUGACGGGAGCCCGCAUAAGCAGUGGAGUAUGUGGUUUAAUUCGACGCAACGCGAAGAACCUUACCGAAACUUGACAUCCCGAGGAGACCGAUGUAAUGUUGGUUGUGCCUUUCGGGGAACUCGGAGACAGGUGGUGCAUGGUUGUCGUCAGCUCGUGUCGUGAGAUGUUGGGUUAAGUCCCGCAACGAGCGCAACCCCUACGGUUAGUUGCUACGCAAGAGCACUCUAGCCGGACUGCCGUUGACAAAACGGAGGAAGGUGGGGAUGACGUCAAAUCAUCAUGCCCCUUACGUUUCGGGCUACACACGUACUACAAUGGCGCAAACAAAGGGAAGCAAUACCGCGAGGUGGAGCAAAACCCAAAAAAGGCGCCCCAGUUCGGACUGCAGGCUGCAACUCGCCUGCACGAAGUUGGAAUUGCUAGUAAUCGCGGAUCAGCAUGCCGCGGUGAAUACAUUCCCGGGCUUUGUACACACCGCCCGU